Long non-coding RNA from Gasterosteus aculeatus aculeatus (three-spined stickleback), 10023 nucleotides. The record is from Ensembl. Lineage: Eukaryota; Metazoa; Chordata; Actinopteri; Perciformes; Gasterosteidae.
GGGGGGGGGGUUAGGAAUGAAAACCCACGAUACAUCACAGUGUUGAAUAAAAGACAAAAAGGCCGUCAAUAUCCACUCGUAAUGCCAACGGGGGGGGCGGAGGUUUGACUUUGGCUUUCCUUCCCUGAUUUCCCCCUUGGGACGACUGAUCUCAUCUAAUCUAAUCCAAGAAGGAAGAGGACGGGAGAGGACAGGAGAAUGGUGGAAGAAGACAGAGGACGAGGAGGCGAGUGGAGCCCAUUAGCAUUUGUAUUACCUCAUUCUCUUGCCAGGCGAAUCUCGCUCGCGCCGGUUAAAGUCUGCACACUAUGGUGGAUUCACAGCGUUAUUAUUACCAAGGAUGGGGAACCGUUUCUACCCCUAUUGGAAAGUGAUACCUGGUAUCUGGCACAAACACACACACAGACAGACACGAAGUGCAAGGGGAAAAGUCCUGUGGAAAAUAGCAGGUUCCAUUUAAGCCUGGUUGAGUUCAUAAAGCUAUUAAACUUCUGAUGACUUAUUUCAGACACACAGAUUCGGGCACACGCCUCAAACGGCAUAGAAAUGCACACGCGCACGCAUACUCCAAGGUUUUAGCAUUGAAACCUGAAUGAAGUACUGAUCUGCUUUUAGCCCCGAGAAACGCGCUGCAGAAAGUAUUUAGCUCCCUCACACAAUAAGACCUCAUUACACACAGGACCACAGGCCGUGUGUGUGUCUGUGUUCCACCAUCACACUGCUUUAAUUAGAGGCAGCUCUCUAUGCGCUUUAGGUGGUUGCAAGACACAGAGCGAGGCAGUAAUGCACACACACACACACACACACACACACACACUACAGCGUGCACACUGUCGAUGAUACAUGUAAUGUAGUUUGACUGAUACGGAUGCACAUAGGAAUAAAUGCUCCCUAUGCAAAGAACUGUACUUUGUAAUGUGUGUGUGUGUGUUGUACGCAGAGGGUCUCAGUGCCCUGUAGUUGUGUGUAGAGCUGUUUUAUUCUGUGAUGCUGCAGCACAGCUGGGAAGCCUGUGUGAAGUAUAAGCAUCCGUCCUUUCCGGGGGGGGGCAAUGCACCGCAUGAUGGAAACCUCUCAGAAUAAUUGAUACCGUAAACGAUUACACUCUGCGGACAUUAAGUGAGGCUUGCUUCUUCCCUCCCCGACGCUCCUUUCGCAUCUCGUAUCACGUCUCCGUCUCGCUCGCCACGUCAGCCGGCGUUCGGUCGGCGCGUUGCUUCCCCUCCGCUGCGUCGUGAACAUCGGGAGGAUUCAACAGUUUGAAAUUUGUUCUUUGUUGCUUGAAAAAGAGCUGAUGUCGCGUCUCAGACAAUUUAUAUUUAUCUGGAGCACACCUUCAACAAACUAUAAUUUAUAUGUAAAUAUCCUUCCUAACAUACUUGAAUUUAUCGUCGACAUCAACAGAAAUAAAUCUAAUGUUGAAGAAGAAGUCAUUUCAAAUGGUGUCACACCUUUUAUUGACUGUCAUAUUAGCCUAGCAGUCAUUAUAGGAAUCCCAAAGGUCAUUUUACGCGCUUCAGAUUGUAAAUAGUGAACGUAUCAGUCCUGAGGCAACAGCAGUCAUCAUCUCUGCAUGGCAAUAAGGUUCACUGUGCAUCCCUGCAGUUAUCGCCUCAUCAAUACUUAAUUCCACAUAGGAACCCUCAAAAGGCACGUCUGACAUGGCGUCAUGCUGCUCCGGCUUCAUCUGCUGACCCCGAACAUGUUCAGCACGUCUCAUUAGACUGAUACAUACGCAUGCGUAAUUGCAUGUUUUAUUAAGUUAUUUACAAUGUGAUUUACAAUGUACAAAGUUUGUAUAAGGACACAUCAUAUAUGCGUACUUCAACUUCAAGACAGUCAUCAUCAUUAAAAGGAUCAUUUAUAUCGAAAUACGACCUAGUUUUCAGUCAGAUCGAGUUCAAAGGAUAACGUGUCUUCUGUCUUCCAUUUCCCUGCAUCCACAUGACCGCAGCUUAAUUAGACCAUUUUAAUUGUUUAUGGUUAAAUAAUAUUCUGAUGAAUCUCCUUCAUGCAUUCAUCCUUUUGCAACCGAAUCACAGCUGUUUGAAUUAGCAGAGCUGCUUUGACGGUCCAAGGACGCACCACGACAACAUGUCAGCGUUUAUCUUCAGUCUCUGCGAUGCAGCAGCGAGUUGUGCACGAGGCCUUGGCGGCAGCUAUGACCCCUCUACGUGAAGUCUAGGCCUUUAACGUUGUUUGCUUUUUCUCACAAACGAGUAAAUGCGUUUCGUGGAGCCGUCGUCGGCUCAAGGAUCCUUGGUGCCAUGCGAGUGUGCACGGGCAACGUGCUGGAGCGCCGCCCAAAGUUCAAAUUCUAUAAGGAGCCAUUCAUGCCCGUUAUACCAUCUCAAGAGAGUUGUUCUGCGCACUGUGGCUGAAGGUCUCACAUUGAGCGCGUUCAGUGUGUGAACAAAACACCCUCUCGAUUUGCAUUCAAAGGCAAUGUCAUACACGCAUAAUGCCUUCAACACUCAAUUCUUCCUCGGUCCUCCUGCAGUAGCUCCACUAGGCCUCUAUCCUGAAUAGUGACACCAUUUGAGUCAACUGGAAUGGUCGAAUAAAGUGUUGAAGAAAAGGGAAUAAACUUUUGGGUUUCCUCUGUUGUUAUUAUUAUUAUUAAGAAGUCUCUCUCCCUCAUUCUCAUAUCGACCACAUUACCUGUAAAGGUCCUCCUCUUCUGUUCUGUCCACAUCAUUAUCUGAUCUAUGCGAGCAAUAAGUGAUUCAUGACUCCACGAGGAAGACGUUUUCUGCAGGACAAUGCAAACCCCCUGUUAAAGAAUCAACAGCUGGGGGGGGGCGUCUUAUGUGCACCGACUUUGUGCAUCCCAUCCCCUUCACUCUCGUGUGGAACUCUCUGUGUGGAGAAAUGGACGGAGUUCACCGUCAAACUUCUCCUCUUCCGUCCCUCCCACCUCAUCAAGUGGCCAUUACGCAGCGAAGGCUCAGGAUGGUGUUUUUUGGGCGUAAUCGUGCAGAUAUCGAGCGCGUUGGGAGGCUAACGCUUUUCUUGCGUUCCUCCCACAUCAUCAGUUCGUCAUCAUGAAGGCCGAGUCAUUAGUGCGCCGACGGAUCGUUAAUGCAGAGACGGAUCAUUAGGGGGCACCGGCUCUUUGUCCCUAUUGAACAGGGAAGUAUUAUUUUCACACCUGAGUGUCAUUCAUCUUCGUGGCGGUGAACGGCACAAUGGAGCUAAAAAAAAAAAAAAAAGGCCGUUGUCUCUUAUCUCGGUGUGAUACAGCGGGGGGUUGAAGCCUUGGUGGUGGUCACAGAUGAUUAUUUUCAGGAGGGCUUAGCCUACAUGGUCUCAACCACAUGUGGCUGCUCAUUGCGUCUUUUAGACUUUCGACGAUUCACGCUGCUGUUCUGUUGGAUUUUAUUGGAUUUUAUUGCAAUUACACAAUUUACUUUGCAGAACUUAACAGUUCUCAGCAUUAUGCCCCCCCCCCCACCCCCCACAGCACAAGCCACACCAUUAAAUGAGUUUGUCUUGGAUCAUGUGCUAGCUAAUGAUCCCCUUUGUUACCUCCUGUUUAGUGCAACGUGAUUGUAGGGAGGUGAGGGAGUCACACAGUUUUGAAAUCAGACUAUAAGUUGUCCUGCAUAUUGCGGACUGUUAUAUCUCUAAGAGCUAUGGACAGACCCCCCACUGGGCUUGAACUUUUCCCAGCCAGCUGUCUUUUUUUAUAAUAUCCAAUGGAAUCAAUAGGGUUGCCAUGCAGUCACUCCCUUCCUCAUCAUUUGUUUUUUUCAUCCAUUUUGAACUCACCAAACUGUUUUUCUGUAAAAUGCAUCCGUGCACGACUGUCCUAAAUCUACUAUUUGAAGGUAUUGGAAGCAUUUUUCUCUUCUCUUAUUCUCGGAACUGUGACAAACACAGAAGUUGCUCCUUUUACCUUCCGUUUCAAAAACGUAAAAUAAAAUAAACCGGACUGGUUCCUUCACUGUGUAGCCUGGUAAAUAGCCCCCCCCGACCCCCCCCGAAAGGGUUGCCUGGGGCUGCAAGCCAUUCACACGGCGGAAGAGUUUGAAAAAGCCUGUUUGUGACUCAUUGAAAUCACAGCUCCAUCCUGCACGGAGCCGUAGCGUCGACUCUCAGGGGGGCGGAAACAAUAAAAAGGGCACCAGGUGUGUGCCCUGGGGCACCAGUGGGCCCGAGAGCUCCCCAUCAUGUAGGGCAGCCUUAAUGUCACUACAUCAUUUCUCCAUCUGAGGGCCACCGCAUGGGCCGCCUCAUCAUAUUUCCUCGACUGGAAGAGCAUCUCAUCCCAGUUCCCCCACUGGUUAAUGCACUCUAAAGGGCAACAUCCCGUUGUCCACCUUGGAAGGGCCCCCCCCCCCCAUGAAAUGGCCUUCAUGAUGUUUUCUCCACCAGAAAGGACCUUUAGAGGGAGUUCAUCACACCUUGUGUUCUAGCAGAGUAUAUUGGAGGGCACUCUGGCAAUAGUAUCUACUAGGGUCACCCGAGCAUCAACUUGUACUGCCCCCCCCCCCAUCCGUGUUUUACAAUGAUUUAAAGCAGUGGACUUCCAAAGUGCCCCCUGUUGGCUCGGUGGUCCUCUGCUGGUGAAUGUAUCGGUCCAGCAUGGGAUGUGUGUACGGCCCCACACACACACACACACACACACACACACACACACACCCUGGUCCUUCAUCCAGGCGUGGAGUUGAGUAAUGAGGGGUUUUAGUGGAGGGGACAGCUCACCUUCUUACCAACCCUUCUCAAGGAGACUUUUGAUCAUUGUUGUCAGCCACAGCUAAGCGCGUUAAAUGGAGGCCGCACCAUCCGGGGCUGCGUGCGUGUAACGUAAGAUGGAGGGAAAUGUGUGCACGUGUGAUCGGGAAGUAAACGGAGCGUAAGUCCACGUCUCUCUCUCUCUCUGUGUGUGUGUGAGAAACAGAUGUGUGCCUCUGGACGUCUACACUGGUGUGUGAGAGUGGUCAUCCCAAACAUCUGUCUCCCGUUACCAUUCGGACGGACCCACUGAUAGACGUAUAAUGGACUUUCCUCCCCUCGUUUGUGUGUGUGUGUGUGUGCACACGUGUGUGUGAAGGGGGCAUUUAGCAGCCAAUCAAUCACCAGCUGUCACACGGGUACGUGUGGGGGAACAGUGUCAGCAAAGGUGACACACACACACACACACGUAGACAAAUGCAGAGGUUAUUUAGGCAUUCAGGUAUCUCGGGGCUUCAUCGGUGUAAUCUUGAGUUUACUCAAGUUCACUCCCGGCGGCGCAACAACCAUCACAUGGCCGUGACACGUUGUCGGAGUACGUGCCAGCAGGUCAGUCUCAUCCGUCUUCUUUAGUGAACACAAAUCGCUCACAAUCAAUCGACAGGUACGGCGGCGAAAAGAAUGAUGGAACUACUUAAAUACGAGCUCAGAUGUCUCAACGCGGCCUCUCUCUGGAUGAUCAGUCUCCAUGUUUCUUCGCAGACGCAAUUAACGGGUUUCUGCCACCGUAUUUCAUUGGAUAAACUUGUUGAAUGUGCUGCAUUACUAAAAUGAAAGGACGCAUCAAGUGAUAAAGUAUUCAGAUCCCGUUCUCUCUGCGUCAAUAAGCCAACGCUUUGUAUGUCAUAACAAAGUCAUCUUUGGAACCAGCACACUGUUGUAUUUCCGGCUCCUUUAUCGCCUGUUGGCGGCGGAGAAGAACUCAUGAACGGACUUUCAGCCGGUCGCAUACUGACUCGUGACCUUGGUACCAAACAAAGUAAAAACCAAGUGGUUUGGCAAAAAUAUCCCUUUACUGUCCGGAAAGAAUUCUGCCCUCUGAGUCAACGUCCCGCCACAAUAAAAGCCUCUGCCGGACGCGCUGUUUGUUUGCUCUUAGUUCCGAAGCAGCCAGCGAGGGCACACAAGUGCGAACGCCUGCGGAAUUAUGCCUGUUAUCUGUGUACGCGUGUGCACGUGGGAUGAUGCGUGCAUGUGGGAUAACCCGCUUCAAACCUCUCUGUGUAAACAGACGGCCACUUUGACCUGAAGAGUUGUUUACUCACAGAAUUAAAGAGAUUAAAACUGACUCAGUGAAACCCGCGAACUGCACGAUAAGUGUGGAUUAAAAUGCUAAAAUUCACAAAGAGACACGCUUGAGUGAAGCCGCGCAUGCCGACAGAGGGAUGUGAUCCUUUUCACGAAGCAAAAAAGGAGGAGAGUACAGACAAAAGCGCUUUGUUAAAUAUGACAGAAUGAUAAAUAAGGCCAUCUUUUCACAAGGAGACAGAACCAAGUUUAUAUCUCCAGAAAACUGUAUGAAGGCAUCACGUUUUUGUAAUGUACAAAAAAAACAGAUGUUCCUCUCCAGACAUUCACAUGAAUCACUGAUGGAUUAUGUGGCACAACGCUGGUGAACGUGUCUACGUGUGUGCAGAUUGGAUGAAACGUCUUCAUCUCAUUACGCAGUUAGAACUCCAGAUACCAAAGUUAUGUCAGAAAGCUCCGAAAGGUGACUGCUUCCUAUUAUCUGCUCCUCAGCCACACAACACACGUUACAAAUCAUUAAACGAAUAAGAAGAAGAAAGCAAUUAAAUGGGCCCUACAUGGUGUCAGGGAACAAGCAUUUAAAGGUCAAAGGUUACCGACCUCCAAUUCUGCACAGCAAUUUUCUAAAGUUAAACACAAAUGGUUUGAAGGAACAGAUAAUAUCUCGCAAACUUCGUAACCCACUGAAAAGAAUGAGGCAGAGAUGAAAAAAAUAGGCGAGUCUUUACCCCAAAAGAGGGCGAGGACGCCCUUUGACUGAGUCAACUGGGUCCCACCGGACACACGAGCUCACUGAUGAGCCGCUGUCAAAUGUGAGCAAAACAACCCAUAAUAUAUUUGUUGUGACAAGGGACGGGACAAAUGCUAAUUUGCAGACACCGCGGAGGAUUGAGUCUGUGAACAAGCGCGAGAUUGACUGCGCGGUUAGCUGAGAGAAGUCACUGCAGGAACGAUUCAAAGGAACAAACAAAUGGGAACAAAACAGGAAGGGAAGCGCGCGGCGGUGACAGAGGUGUGUGUGUGUGUGUGUGUGUGUGUGUGUGUCUGUGUGUGUGAGAGGUCAGGUCCGGGUGAGGAGUGCAUCAAUAAGAUUUCAUGCACACUUCACAGUACACACUCAUUUCCUGUUUCCUAACCCCCGACCAGCUGUUGCAGAUGUGCAGCACGGUAAAAUGUCACAUUCUCCUGUGGACAUUUGUUUCUCAUGAUGCAAAUAUCGGAGCGUGCACACACAGACACACACUCACUGCGGCUGUUUCACACUCAAAAUAGCCUUUUCAUUAUUCAGGGGUUGAGUCCGGGGGGGUUUAAUAGGAAGCCGUUGAAGUGUGUCCAUGAACGUGUGCACAUGUGGGUCCCCCCCCCCAAGGACAUGCGGCUCAGAUGUGAGCUCCUUUCUUUCUUCUUAGUGGCUCCACACAUCCACGCCAUUAACCACUGUGGAGGGACAGCGGCAACGAGUGGAGGCAAACUGUUGCGUGUUUGUGCGUUGCUGCUCGAUAACACGCGACUGGGUACGGUUUCAUUUGCAGCCGAGAGGCGUCUAAUAGCACGUAUCCGAAACGCUUUCCGGGCCUUUUCUUAAUCUCGCUUGAUAAACGAGCCGCGCUCUGAGGGAAAGAGCACUUUCUGAAGCCCCCAUAAGCCCUCUAAACAGAUUACAAAGACUUAUGGGUAAAUAGAGGCAGCGGAGGUGAAAAAAAAAGAAAAAAAAAAGAAAGUGAACGUCCUUUUUAACGGAGCUUCCUGGAAGCCGAGCGCGCUAAUGUGACGCAACUGCUUCUCUUCCCGUCACUCGCUGAUGAGAAAUAAAUGAAUGAGAUUAAGGUUGUAACGGGCCCGCGCGUGUGUGUGUGUGUGUGUGUGUGUGUGUGUGUGUGUGUGUGUGUGUGUGUGUGUGAAAGUGAUUUCAUGGAACUCGUGCUUGGAGCUGUGUGGUUGGUACCAGGUGGGGGUUCUUCUGAGGAGGACACGCAGUGCGCACACUCACAGACACACACACACACACACACACACACAGGGGAUGCUUACAGGUCUCCUCUUCACGCAUUGGGGUAAUUCUGAAGUCUUUCUUAAUGGGGGAAAUACAGCUGCAGACUUGGACUCGAGUCACAGGUGAAAACCACAGACUCCACUUGGACCACAAUAUGGAGGCUGUUGCCGUGGUAACCACAGGGAUCUGAAUAAACAAUAGAAGGCUCCGAGAUGGUUGCAUUUUACAUUAUUAUAUUAUUUUAUUUCACGCCAGUUUCUAUAAUUUUAUUUUAUUUUUUGAAUCAUUUUGUCUUUUCAUAUUUCAGUUGUCGCCACAGAUGUUUCUUCACGUGAAAGACGCAGCAGCAGCAUAAAGCACACUGCAAGGAGACAGAGAGGAAGUGGAUUAACUUCAAUCCCUGUUUAAGUUUGGUUCAUUGUUACAAAUCAUCACUAUACAAAACCCGGUAAACACACGCACAAACACACACAGAAGCCACACAGCCCCGAGACGACUGUGUGGUUUGAUGGGAAAAUGAAAGCAGAGAAAUGAAUUCCUCCGUUGUCCCGCGGGUGAGUAAACAUCACUGUGAUUGCCUGUAAUGUCCUGAUCUGAGUAUUAUUAGUAUUCCUGUUCCGCACACAUACAACUCUGAUACCUGUAGUGACCCGCAGCCCUCAUUUCAUUCAGCUUCCCGCCAGCCAGCUUCUGCUGAGAGUCGAAUGAAGCAAAUAGAGAUCGAUGUGAAUGCAAAUCCCUCUGCCAACUUUUCUCUCUAAAUGGCUGAUUCGGCACUUCAGAAAUUGCUAACGAGAGAUUGAUCUGAUGCUGAAACGGAGCUGAGAGUCCUUUUAAAAGAGUCUUUGAUGGUCCCGGAUCAAAAAAAAUCAUAAAAAUACCUUAAAGGGCCAGUUUGCCUGUUGUGCUGUGUGAGCUGCUCAUCAGUCAGUGUGUUUUCCACAGCAGCACCAAAUAAAAGAAGCAUCCCGGGUCGUCGGGACAGAACCAAAAAGCACAGGGACCCGUCUCCCUCCCUCACACCCGCCCAUAAUAUCGACUGGAUGAUGUCAUCGCUACGGCGAUGGGAUCCACUUUGUUGCCACGGGUAACUCAUUUAGAGACACAUUACUACGGACGGAUGGAGGGAUGAAUGGAUUGAAGAGGGGAGGCAGGGUGAUGGUGGAGGGAGGGAGGAGGGUGACGGAGGCGGGGGAGAAGGGAGGGAAGGGAAGAGUUUUUGGUGAGAGAUUGAUGGAGAGGGGAAGAGAAGAGCGAUAGAAAGAAGGUUGAGAGAAGGGAAAACAAAAACAGGCCGGGAGGAAGAGAUGAAACACGACGGGGGGGCGGAGGGGGCGGAGCCACGUAAACUCAUUACAAGAGUUCCUGCACUCUCUCUGCCUCCGCCCGCAUCCACCCAUCCGCCUCCGCUGCCGGUCAGCGGCUCAAUCUCCAACACUUUUCCCGGAAUGGAAGCGUGAUGUUUUCCCGCCGGUGGCGAGCGGCUCGGCUUCCCGCAGGCUCUUUAAAGCGAAACCCGAUACGUGGACAUCCAAUCGGAAAGCUUUUAACUAGCAGCGCCGCGGGUGGCCAGGUGGGUAAAGUAUUUAGCAGUCAGGACACUCGGAGAGUGUGUGUGUGUGUGUGUGUGUGUGUGUGUGUGUGUGUGUGUGUGUGUGUGUGUGUGUGUGUGUGUGUGUAGGGGGGGUAAAGUAUUUAGUGGUCAGUAAACUCCCAUGACCUCUUCAGUGUAAGUGAAUCCAAGUGUUUUUGUGUCUUCAGGAGACGUCUCGCACCAAGGACAUGUCUCAUAUACAGAUACAUGUACAUACAUGCUUUAAUGGGGCUCUGUAGAUUUUAACUACUCUGACAUGUGCUGUUUUUCUAUAUGCAGAUGUGAGACACGUGCUGUAGUUCCAUAUGCAGAUGUGAGACACGUGCUGUAGUUUCAUAUGCAGAUGUGAGACAUGUGCUGUAGUUCCAUAUGCAGAUGUGAGACAUGUGCUGUAGUUCCAUAUGCAGAUGUGAGAUACGUGCUGUAGUUCCAUAUGCAGAUGUGAGACACG